Molecule: ribosomal RNA, 430 nt
Filed under: uncultured bacterium
Lineage: Bacteria
Description: partial 16S ribosomal RNA
Rfam family: Bacterial small subunit ribosomal RNA
Source: RNAcentral
AACGAACGCUGGCGGCAGGCCUAACACAUGCAAGUCGAGCGCCCCGCAAGGGGAGCGGCGGACGGGUGAGUAACGCGUGGGAAUAUGCCCUUUGCUACGGAAUAGUCUCGGGAAACUGGGGGUAAUACCGUAUACGCCCUUUGGGGGAAAGAUUUAUCGGCGAAGGAUUAGCCCGCGUUGGAUUAGGUAGUUGGUGGGGUAAUGGCCUACCAAGCCGACGAUCCAUAGCUGGUUUGAGAGGAUGAUCAGCCACACUGGGACUGAGACACGGCCCAGACUCCUACGGGAGGCAGCAGUGGGGAAUCUUAGACAAUGGGGGCAACCCUGAUCUAGCCAUGCCGCGUGAGUGAUGAAGGCCUUAGGGUUGUAAAGCCCUUUCAGCUGGGAAGAUAAUGACGGUACCAGCAGAAGAAGCCCCGGCUAACUCCGU